Long non-coding RNA from Prosopis cineraria, 636 nucleotides. RefSeq lists it as uncharacterized. The transcript has 2 exons. NCBI's taxonomy places the organism in Eukaryota, Viridiplantae, Streptophyta, Magnoliopsida, Fabales, Fabaceae. The record is from RefSeq and is a predicted model, not a curated record.
UCGCUGGUUGUCGGUGGAGAGGAGGAGGGGGAGAGAGGCUCACUCCAUUUUUCCUCUUCCUCCGUCCUUCCAGUUGCCGGCGAAGGUUAUGUGAGAGUCGCCGUUUCAUCUGCAACUACAGUAGAUCCGUGAGCUUGCAACCUUCAUCUCUGUGCCGUUGAUUUCUUCCUCUUUCGUCCGUAUUGUGCUAUGGUGCUUUGAAUCCUUUCUCUAUUCCUUCUGCACGUUGCCAGUGUGUACAAGGGAGUUGUUUCUGUUGCUGCUGGAGGUUUGAUUCGCUGGUCAUUCUCCUCCUCUGUUUCGGCUCACAGCUGCUCUUCUUGAUCUUCAUGUUCUGUCACUGCAAUUCUAGUUCCCCUUCCUUCGGUACUCUUUGCUUUAUUGAUAGCAUAAUUGAUGCUGUAUGUCUUGCUUGCCAAGGAUGGGUGUUUGCGGAACAGAAUGGAGGCUUGUUCUGUAAAUAUGUCUUAUGGAUGUAAAGGUGAAAUUUAUGUAUUAUGUCAUGAGAUAUAUAAUUAGGUGCUCCACAUAACUUAUAAUUAGAGUCCUUAGUUUAUUAUACAUUUUGCCUAUUGGCUGGAAGGAGCUGAGCUCUUGAUUGAUAAAAUGUUUAAGGAAAACUUUUGUGAUACAGAA